RNAcentral lists this ribosomal RNA (447 nucleotides) under Escherichia albertii. Its description in RNAcentral is "bacterial SSU rRNA". It matches the Rfam family "Bacterial small subunit ribosomal RNA", at positions 112 to 555 of the family's 1533-position model. Lineage: Bacteria; Pseudomonadati; Pseudomonadota; Gammaproteobacteria; Enterobacterales; Enterobacteriaceae. The record is from RNAcentral.
AAUGUCUGGGGAUCUGCCUGAUGGAGGGGGAUAACUACUGGAAACGGUAGCUAAUACCGCAUAACGUCGCAAGACCAAAGAGGGGGACCUUCGGGCCUCUUGCCAUCGGAUGAACCCAGAUGGGAUUAGCUUGUUGGUGAGGUAACAGCUCACCAAGGCGACGAUCCCUAGCUGGUCUGAGAGGAUGACCAGCCACACUGGAACUGAGACACGGUCCAGACUCCUACGGGAGGCAGCAGUGGGGAAUAUUGCACAAUGGGCGCAAGCCUGAUGCAGCCAUGCCGCGUGUAUGAAGAAGGCCUUCGGGUUGUAAAGUACUUUCAGCGGGGAGGAAGGCGUGAAACCUAAUACGUUUCGCGAUUGACGUUACCCGCAGAAGAAGCACCGGCUAACUCCGUGCCAGCAGCCGCGGUAAUACGGAGGGUGCAAGCGUUAAUCGGAAUUACU